GACGAACGCUGGCGGCGUGCCUAAUACAUGCAAGUAGAACGCUGAAGGAGGAGCUUGCUCUUCUGGAUGAGUUGCGAACGGGUGAGUAACGCGUAGGUAACCUGCCUGGUAGCGGGGGAUAACUAUUGGAAACGAUAGCUAAUACCGCAUAACAGUAGAUGUUGCAUGACAUUUACUUAAAAGGUGCAAUUGCAUCACUACCAGAUGGACCUGCGUUGUAUUAGCUAGUUGGUGGGGUAACGGCUCACCAAGGCGACGAUACAUAGCCGACCUGAGAGGGUGAUCGGCCAAACUGGGACUGAGACACGGCCCAGACUCCUACGGGAGGCAGCAGUAGGGAAUCUUCGGCAAUGGACGGAAGUCUGACCGAGCAACGCCGCGUGAGUGAAGAAGGUUUUCGGAUCGUAAAGCUCUGUUGUAAGAGAAGAACGAGUGUGAGAGUGGAAAGUUCACACUGUGACGGUAUCUUACCAGAAAGGGACGGCUAACUACGUG
RNAcentral lists this ribosomal RNA (495 nucleotides) under uncultured bacterium. RNAcentral describes it as "partial 16S ribosomal RNA". It matches the Rfam family "Bacterial small subunit ribosomal RNA", at positions 28 to 507 of the family's 1533-position model. The record is from RNAcentral.